GUAGGGAAUAUUGGGCAAUGAUCGGAAGACUGACCCAGCCAUGCCGCGUGCAGGAAGACGGCCCUCUGGGUUGUAAACUGCUUUUAUCUGGGAAGAAAAAGGCCAUGCGUGGCAAAUUGCCGGUACCAGAUGAAUAAGCACCGGCUAACUCCGUGCCAGCAGCCGCGGUAAUACGGAGGGUGCGAGCGUUGUCCGGAUUUAUUGGGUUUAAAGGGUGCGUAGGCGGCUGAUUAAGUCAGCGGUGAAAGACUUCGGCUUAACCGGAGCAGUGCCGUUGAUACUGGUUGGCUUGAGUGUCGGAGGGGUACAUGGAAUUGAUGGUGUAGCGGUGAAAUGCAUAGAUACCAUCAGGAACACCGAUAGCGAAGGCAUUGUACUGGCCGACAACUGACGCUGAUGCACGAAAGUGUGGGGAUCGAACAGGAUUAGAUACCCCAGUAGUCC
RNAcentral lists this ribosomal RNA (444 nucleotides) under uncultured bacterium. RNAcentral describes it as "partial 16S ribosomal RNA". It matches the Rfam family "Bacterial small subunit ribosomal RNA", at positions 354 to 796 of the family's 1533-position model. The record is from RNAcentral.